AAGGUCUGGCCUGCCCACUGAUUAGAUUGAAGGGCCGCGGUAUACUAACCGUGCGAAGGUAGCAUAGUCAAUAGUCUUUUAAUUGGAGGCUUGAAUGAAUGGUCGGACAUGAAGAGAACUGUCUCAUUAGAUGAUAAUGAAGUUAACUUCUGUGUGAAAAGGCAUUGAUGGUUUAGAGGGACGAUAAGACCCUAUAAAACUUUAUGAUUAGUUGUCAUGCCUCUUAAUAUGAGUUUAAAGAGGGGGGUGACGAAAUUAUUGCGCUGGGGCGGCGGGAAUAUAAUUUGUAGCUGUUCUUUUAAAUGGAAUAGUUAUAAUUAGACUUUGACCCUGGAAUUCGGUUUGUAAGUGUCAGUUACUUUAGGGAUAACAGCGUUAUUUCUCCUGAGAGUCCAUAUCGAUGGAGACAUUUGCGACCUCGAUGUUGAAUUAAAGCUGUCUUCGGGAGUAGGAAUUCGAGAGACAGGUCUGUUC
This 474-nucleotide ribosomal RNA is filed under the name Alpheus inca Wicksten & Mendez, 1981. RNAcentral describes it as "partial large subunit ribosomal RNA". It matches the Rfam family "Bacterial large subunit ribosomal RNA", at positions 1847 to 2582 of the family's 2925-position model. Lineage: Eukaryota; Metazoa; Arthropoda; Malacostraca; Decapoda; Alpheidae. The record is from RNAcentral.